This is a long non-coding RNA of Diabrotica virgifera virgifera (western corn rootworm), 851 nucleotides long. RefSeq lists it as uncharacterized. The transcript has 3 exons. The record is from RefSeq and is a predicted model, not a curated record. NCBI's taxonomy places the organism in Eukaryota, Metazoa, Arthropoda, Insecta, Coleoptera, Chrysomelidae.
GUUCAAUUAAUACAAUAUUAUAAACAUACAAAUGUAAUAAAAAUUAUUGUUCGCGAAUAUUCAAUUUGGAAUGCGAUUUUGUUAAUAAAAAAAAUACUUAUAACUUAUGCAAAACCCAAGAGAGGCAUUUAUAUUUAUUUCUUUUGCGUUCAUUUUCAAAUUCGCCGUGCAUAUAUUUUUGUGCAUGGCGCUUGAGAGGGCAUCACGUGACUAAAAACGACCAACCAACGACCUCGCUUCGGCCAUCUUGGCAUCUUCAUCUUGGCCACCUUGCUUUGCCGUGGGUGGAUCGUUGUUUGUAUUAUUUGUGCUUUUUAAGAAUAUUUUUUUAAUUCGGAUACUUUUAUAAUAGCUUUAAUAGUAUUAUUAACAUAGUGAAUAAAAUGGUGUCCUGUUUUUAACGCAGUUGGAGUAGCAGAAACAAAUGUAGAUAAAAAAAUCUGCAGGAACAACGUUUCAAUUAUGACAGAAGCUCCAAACAAAUGACUGUGAAUGAAAAGCCCUAUUAAAAGCUUUCCAGAAGAUCCUGCGAAGAAGACAUGAAGUAUAGAUCAGAUUUGUUAAUAGAGGACUAUGUUCAAAACACUUUUUAGAAAAAGAUAUUGACAGAACUUCACUUUCAUCUGUUCGUUUAAGAGACUGUGCUGUUCCAAUAGCUUAUGUCACACAGAAUCAGCUGAGAGAAGUGGUCUACAAAAAAACAGAAAGGAAACGGAAUAUGUGGCUACGAAAAGCAAAAGAAAGGUUUACAAAGCAAAUGUGACACAUUUUUUUAUAAUAUUUAGGAAUGUCAGUAAAUUACAUUAAAAAAUGUAUGUAAAGAUUUUUUGCAAUAAAAAUGUUUAUAUUUA